CAAAUGAUUGGGGUGAAGUCGUAACAAGGUAGCCGUAUCGGAAGGUGCGGCUGGAUCACCUCCUUU
RNAcentral lists this ribosomal RNA (66 nucleotides) under Staphylococcus aureus. RNAcentral's name for it is "partial 16S ribosomal RNA". It matches the Rfam family "Bacterial small subunit ribosomal RNA", at positions 1468 to 1533 of the family's 1533-position model. RNAcentral also lists the same sequence under 6 other names. Lineage: Bacteria; Bacillati; Bacillota; Bacilli; Caryophanales; Staphylococcaceae. The record is from RNAcentral.